CAGCAGCCACGGUAAUACGAAGGGGGCUAGCGUUGUUCGGAAUUACUGGGCGUAAAGGGCGCGUAGGCGGCCAUUCAAGUUAGAUGUGAAAGCCCUGGGCUCAACCUAGGAAUUGCAUUUGAUACUGUUUGGCUUGAGUUCGGGAGAGGUGAGUGGAAUUCCCAGUGUAGAGGUGAAAUUCGUAGAUAUUGGGAAGAACACCAGUGGCGAAGGCGGCUCACUGGACCGACACUGACGCUGAGGCGCGAAAGCGUGGGGAGCAAACAGGAUUAGAUACCCCAGUAGUCCCUGUCUCUUAUAC
This 301-nucleotide ribosomal RNA is filed under the name uncultured bacterium. RNAcentral's name for it is "partial 16S ribosomal RNA". It matches the Rfam family "Bacterial small subunit ribosomal RNA", at positions 509 to 807 of the family's 1533-position model. The record is from RNAcentral.